UUGGAGGGCAAGUCUGGUGCCAGCAGCCGCGGUAAUUCCAGCUCCAAUAGCGUAUAUUAAAGUUGUUGCAGUUAAAAAGCUCGUAGUUGAAUUUCGGGGUUAGUAGGUUGGUCAUGCCUCUGGUAUGUACUGGCCUUACUGAUUCCUCCUUCCUGAUGAACCGUAAUGCCAUUAAUUUGGUGUUGCGGGGAAUUUGGACUGUUACUUUGAAAAAAUUAGAGUGUUUAAAGCAAGCUAACGCUUGAAUACAUUAGCAUGGAAUAAUGAAAUAGGACGUUCGAUCCUAUUUUGUUGGUUUCUAGGAUUGACGUAAUGAUUAAUAGGGAUAGUUGGGGGCAUUAGUAUUCAAUUGUCAGAGGUGAAAUUCUUGGAUUUAUUGAAGACUAACUACUGCGAAAGCAUUUGCCAAGGAUGUUUUCAUUAAUCAAGAACGAAAGUUAGGGGAUCGAAGACGAUCAGAUACCGUCGUAGUCUUAACCAUAAACUAUGCCGACUAGGGAUCGGAUGAUGUUAAUUUUUUAAUGACUCAUUCGGCGCCUUACGGGAAACA
This 550-nucleotide ribosomal RNA is filed under the name uncultured Glomus. RNAcentral describes it as "SSU rRNA". It matches the Rfam family "Eukaryotic small subunit ribosomal RNA", at positions 548 to 1099 of the family's 1831-position model. Lineage: Eukaryota; Fungi; Glomeromycota; Glomeromycetes; Glomerales; Glomeraceae. The record is from RNAcentral.